UUCUGGUUGAUCCUGCCAGAGGCGACCGCUAUUGGAGUUCGAUUAAGCCAUGCGAGUAGAAAGAAAUUAGAUUCUUUGCAUACUGCUCAGUAACACGUGGAUAACCUGCCCUGUGCUGGAGGAUAAUCUUGGGAAACUGAGCAUAAUACUCCAUAGACCACUACGCCUGGAACGGUGAGUGGUUCAAAGCUCUGGCGGCACAGGAUGGGUCUGCGGCGUAUCAGGUUGUAGGGGGUGUAAUGGACCCCCUAGCCAUCGACGCGUACGGGUUGUGGGAGCAAUAGCCCGGAGACGGAUUCUGAGACACGAAUCCGGACCCUACGGGGUGCAGCAGGCGCGAAAACUUCACACUGCAGGCAACUGUGAUGAGGGAACUCCAAGUGACUGCACAAUGUGUAGCCUUUUCUUGACUGUUAAUAAGUCUUGGAAUAAGGGCUGGGAAAGACCGGUGCCAGCCGCCGCGGUAAUACCGGCAGCUCGAGUGGUCGUCGCUUUUAUUGGGCCUAAAACGUCCGUAGCCUGUUCAGUAAACCCGUGGGUAAAUCAACCAGCUUAACUGGUUGAAUUCUGCGGAGACUGCUGGACUAGGGACCGGGAGAGGUAUGAGGUACUCUCAGGGUAGGGGUAAAAUCCUGUCAUCCUGAGAGGACCACCUGUUGCGAAGGCGUCAUACUGGAACGGAUCCGACGGUCAGGGACGAAGCCUAGGGGCACGAACCGGAUUAGAUACCCGGGUAGUCCUAGGUGUAAACGCUGUGGACUUGGUGUUGGAGAUCCGCAAUGGGUCUUCAGUGCCGCAGCGAAGGUGUUAAGUCCACUGCCUGGGGAGUACGGUCGCAAGGCUGAAACUUAAAGGAAUUGGCGGGGGAGCACUGCAACGGGAGGAGCGUGCGGUUUAAUUGGACUCAACGCCGGGA
Molecule: ribosomal RNA, 916 nt
Filed under: uncultured Candidatus Poseidoniales archaeon
Lineage: Archaea; Methanobacteriati; Thermoplasmatota; Candidatus Poseidoniia; Candidatus Poseidoniales
Description: SSU rRNA
Rfam family: Archaeal small subunit ribosomal RNA
Source: RNAcentral